CCUACGGGAGGCAGCAGUGGGGAAUAUUGGACAAUGGGGGGAACCCUGAUCCAGCCAUGCCGCGUGUGUGAAGAAGGCCCUCGGGUUGUAAAGCACUUUCAGUGAGGAAGAACGCCUGGUGGUUAAUACCCAUCAGGAAAGACAUCACUCACAGAAGAAGCACCGGCUAACUCCGUGCCAGCAGCCGCGGUAAUACGGAGGGUGCGAGCGUUAAUCGGAAUUACUGGGCGUAAAGCGCGCGUAGGUGGCUUGAUAAGCCGGUUGUGAAAGCCCCGGGCUCAACCUGGGAACGGCAUCCGGAACUGUCAAGCUAGAGUGCAGGAGAGGAAGGUAGAAUUCCCGGUGUAGCGGUGAAAUGCGUAGAGAUCGGGCGGAAUACCAGUGGCGAAGGCGGCCUUCUGGACUGACACUGACACUGAGGUGCGAAAGCGUGGGUAGCAAACAGGAUUAGAUACCCUAGUAGUC
This 465-nucleotide ribosomal RNA is filed under the name Vreelandella stevensii. RNAcentral's name for it is "partial 16S ribosomal RNA". It matches the Rfam family "Bacterial small subunit ribosomal RNA", at positions 338 to 795 of the family's 1533-position model. The record is from RNAcentral. Lineage: Bacteria; Pseudomonadati; Pseudomonadota; Gammaproteobacteria; Oceanospirillales; Halomonadaceae.